UGAGACAGGUGCUGCAUGGCUGUCGUCAGCUCGUGUUGUGAAAUGUUGGGUUAAGUCCCGCAACGAGCGCAACCCUUAUCCUUUGUUGCCAGCGGUUAGGCCGGGAACUCAAAGGAGACUGCCAGUGAUAAACUGGAGGAAGGUGGGGAUGACGUCAAGUCAUCAUGGCCCUUACGAGUAGGGCUACACACGUGCUACAAUGGCAUAUACAAAGAGAAGCGACCU
Molecule: ribosomal RNA, 225 nt
Filed under: Citrobacter freundii
Lineage: Bacteria; Pseudomonadati; Pseudomonadota; Gammaproteobacteria; Enterobacterales; Enterobacteriaceae
Also listed under: 1 other name
Description: partial 16S ribosomal RNA
Rfam family: Bacterial small subunit ribosomal RNA
Source: RNAcentral